This 72-nucleotide transfer RNA is filed under the name Pleodorina starrii. It matches the Rfam family "tRNA". From Rfam's summary of the family: Transfer RNA (tRNA) molecules are approximately 80 nucleotides in length. Their secondary structure includes four short double-helical elements and three loops (D, anti-codon, and T loops). Further hydrogen bonds mediate the characteristic L-shaped molecular structure. tRNAs have two regions of fundamental functional importance: the anti-codon, which is responsible for specific mRNA codon recognition, and the 3' end, to which the tRNAs corresponding amino acid is attached (by aminoacyl-tRNA synthetases). tRNAs cope with the degeneracy of the genetic code in two manners: having more than one tRNA (with a specific anti-codon) for a particular amino acid; and 'wobble' base-pairing, i.e. permitting non-standard base-pairing at the 3rd anti-codon position. The record is from Rfam by way of RNAcentral. Lineage: Eukaryota; Viridiplantae; Chlorophyta; Chlorophyceae; Chlamydomonadales; Volvocaceae.
GCGCCAUUAGUCUAGUAGCAGGAUACUCGCCUCCCACGCGAGCGGGCCCGGGUGCAAAUCGCGGAUGGCGCA